Non-coding RNA from Rattus norvegicus (Norway rat), 980 nucleotides. The record is from RefSeq and is a predicted model, not a curated record. NCBI's taxonomy places the organism in Eukaryota, Metazoa, Chordata, Mammalia, Rodentia, Muridae.
GGAGCUUUAUUAAAGGGAGGUCCAGACCCACUGGUCCAGAGGUUGAAUGACAGACAUGAUCUAUUCUGAUCUAGUACUAGUCUCUCUCAGGCAACAAUAUGAUGUAACAAUGAGUAGAGUAUACACGGAGUAAAGAAUGGUCGCAAUUCAAAUAGCUUUCUGUCAGUCUGAACUUUCCCAGUGACUAGACACUAAAAGUGCAAACAGCAUCGCACAGGGAUGGAGCUGGGGACUGUUUGAGGCUUCGAAGGGGAGGAGUUCUAUUGGAAGCAGUUAAGAGCCUCUGGUUUGGCUCUCAGGGUGCUGCUCGGCUCCAUUUUAGCCGGAAGGCACAGCACUCUAGAGUUGCUGGCGCUCCUCCGUGGAAUGUUGUGGAAUGUUGUGGAAUGUUCUUGUUCACUCUGCACGCAGCAGGGACAGUAAUUGCCCUCACCAUUUGGCUGCUCUGCGAUCUCUAGAACAUUUUCACAUCCCUCAUCUCACUGGCAAACAUUUCCACCUUCCAGUGGGUACUGUAGGGAAAGGAAGUCACUUUUACUGUAUGGGUAAAGACAAGGCUAGGAGAGCUGACCUAAACUCAGGGUCUAGAGGCCAGAAGAACUAGGGCCUGGGCCCCACCCUGUGACUGUGGGCCCAGGGCUGCUUCCACUCCCCUUGCUUUGGUAAGGAGAGCUCUGAGACUGACUAUCUAGCUCUCGCAGAAGCACGUGAAUGAAGUCAUCAAGCACUUCUUCUGGAACGUUCCUCGUGAGAUCACAACGUCGCAGAGUAAGGAUUCUCCAGCAACCUUGUCACUUUGGAGAAGCCUGACAGUGUAGACUGUUGCUCUCCAAGAUGGCACCCUGUGACAGACCCAUCUUCUCCAAUUGUCUCUACCGCAGUGAUCUGUACUUCUGAUGGGCAUGGGCUCUCGUUCAUCCCCUUCUGCGUUUGCCAAGAGCUUCCUGAGGUGGCUUCUAAUAAAACAAGCUCAUCAAUAA